GAUGAACGCUGGCGGCGUGCCUAAUACAUGCAAGUCGAGCGAACGGACGAGAAGCUUGCUUCUCUGAUGUUAGCGGCGGACGGGUGAGUAACACGUGGAUAACCUACCUAUAAGACUGGGAUAACUUCGGGAAACCGGAGCUAAUACCGGAUAAUAUUUUGAACCGCAUGGUUCAAAAGGAAAGACGGUCUUGCUGUCACUUAUAGAUGGAUCCGCGCUGCAUUAGCUAGUUGGUAAGGUAACGGCUUACCAAGGCAACGAUGCAUAGCCGACCUGAGAGGGUGAUCGGCCACACUGGAACUGAGACACGGUCCAGACUCCUACGGGAGGCAGCAGUAGGGAAUCUUCCGCAAUGGGCGAAAGCCUGACGGAGCAACGCCGCGUGAGUGAUGAAGGUCUUCGGAUCGUAAAACUCUGUUAUUAGGGAAGAACAUAUGUGUAAGUAACUGUGCACAUCUUGACGGUACCUAAUCAGAAAGCCACGGCUAACUACGUG
Molecule: ribosomal RNA, 496 nt
Filed under: uncultured bacterium
Lineage: Bacteria
Description: partial 16S ribosomal RNA
Rfam family: Bacterial small subunit ribosomal RNA
Source: RNAcentral